CACGUAGGGCGCAAGCGUUGUCCGGAAUUAUUGGGCGUAAAGAGCUCGUAGGUGGUUUGUUACGUCCGCUGUGAAAACCUAGGGCUUAACCCUGGGCUUGCAGUGGAUACGGGCAGACUAGAGGUAGGUAGGGGAGAAUGGAAUUCCUGGUGUAGCGGUGAAAUGCGCAGAUAUCAGGAGGAACACCGGUGGCGAAGGCGGGUCUCUGGGCAGUAACUGACGCUGAGGAGCGAAAGCGUGGGGAGCGAACAGG
This 253-nucleotide ribosomal RNA is filed under the name uncultured bacterium. RNAcentral describes it as "partial 16S ribosomal RNA". It matches the Rfam family "Bacterial small subunit ribosomal RNA", at positions 524 to 776 of the family's 1533-position model. The record is from RNAcentral.